UGAUGCUGUAGGGUGCUGCUCUCCAGCCCUUAUCAUCUUCUGCUUUUGCAGGGGGCAAGACCUUCCCUGGGAGAAAUGUUGUACCUCUCCAAUGCUUGGGAAAUAAAAUGUAAGCUGAAGAAAGGGGAAGAAAAUAAACAACAAAGCUUGUUGGCCAGGCUCCUAUGAUGGGGGCUGCUUUCUCGAGUCUGGGAUGGAAGAGCAUCUGGAGGUACAGUAAAACACAGGUUGAACUGAUCCAGAUGCUCUUUUGGAGGGGGCAGACAGUCCUGAGAAGAGCCUGGUUUAUGAGAUGUAAGGGCUCUCUGAAAAAAAGAAAAGUCAGGAGCAGUUGGAAAUGCAGGAACAUCUCUGCUUGCAAAUGCUUUCACACACAGUUGGGAGCGGCGUCCAGCCUGCUCUCUGGCAUGCAGGCCGAUUGACUUGCCCUGUGCCAAAGAUUUUCGUGUUCUGUGCUUUUUCUACUGCAUGAGUGUCAGCUUUAGAGUUCAUGGUGGGAGCAUUCAGACCUAGUGCAGCUGUGCCUGCUGCUACAACAGCUACUUCAUAUCCCAGACAGGUCACAGCACAGGACAAAAAGCAGCUGUGCAUGGUCCAUGAGUCAGGAAGCAUUUUCCACCUGGGAAGAAAGCUGUUAUGCCAGUAGAUUACGUACCUUAACUCUCUAAAGUUACUAGAAAGGUGCUGACUAUUUCUACUUAGUAUUGUAAACUGUGUGACUAGAACUCCCUUAUAAUGGGCAGUAAUUUUGAAUCAAUAGCUUUGAUUUCUGUAUUUUCACAUUUUUUACUAACAAACAAGAGAAUAAGAGGCUGAGUUAAACAUCUGUGCUAAUGAGCAUGCAUCUGACUUCACAGCUUCAGCAAUUUAUUACUGAAGCUUUACUAACAUUUUAAUCAUGGAAAUAGCUAAUUAGCGAAAAUUAAAAGUUAAUGUUUUUCUCAAAUAGUACUGGUUUAUGACAGUAUUUUGGCUUGUGAUACAAGGAAACAAACUCUUGCACUCUGAACAUCCUUCUCCUCUUCUGGCACAAUUUUUCAGGUAUCUGAAAACAGUUACUUUCUCCCUUCAAAGCCUUAAGUGUUUCUGGUCGAAACAUCAGGUUUACUGACACCUGGGGCCAGAGCUACUGCUUGGUGACAAUGGGGAGAGGCCAGCGCCUGAGCUAGGGUGCCACGGAUACAAAUAAAGAUGGGGGGGCACUGGUUUGUGAGAUUUAUGUAGAACCUGUGACAUUUGCCAGAUUGCUGCCCACAUCCAGUGUCUCUUCAAGAGAGCGAAUUCUGCACCAUUUUUAAAAGGACUUAGCUUACUGAUUUCCCUCCUUCCUUUUGCUUUAUUGAAAAAAAAUAUUCUGGAUCUGCAUAAUUUAAAGGUUUGGUAGUCCUCAUCGAAUAGUUUAAAAUUCAGGAGCAAGCACGUGGUAUUUUCUCUCUGGGGAGCAAUCAUAGCUGCAGUAACUUGGUCCGCUGCAGAUCUGGCAGAAAGGACUUAUACUUGAUUUUUAAUUACUUUAGUAUAUUUCUUAGAGAAAAGCAAGAGCAGAAAUCAAGUCACCUGGUACAUUUUACACCUGCUAAAAGUACCCCUAAUGGGGUGCUAUAUCCUCCUAGGUAUGGCAGCUUGCCACUGCCAGUCAGGAACAGCAAUGAUGCUCCAGUAGUUGUUCACUGUAUUCAUGCUGUUUAGAUUUCUAAUAAAGGUUUGUUAUCUGUUGUUGGGAGACAGUAAUAAUAUAUCAGUUUCCUGAAGACGCCACUACUCCACCAGGGUUCCUAUGGUGUUUUGUAAGUUCCAGGUCAUAGGCUAACCUGAACAACUUUACUGGUUUUUCUCUGAAGCUGCCUUAUGCUGAAGAGUGUGCCCAGAGCUCUGAGAUGUUUUUGCCCCUGCUCAUUACAAGACUGAAGCUCACCUGUGCCUAAGGACAAGCCCUCCUUGCCAAAAUCCUUCUGGAGCACCAGCAUGCAUAACGUCCCUUGGAAACUGGUACAGGACAGUCCCUGAAGCCUCUGGAGCACUGCAGAAUGCUGUCCCAAGAGCUAACUGUUUGGAAAUGCCAAAUUACUUAAAAUCCCAUACAUAUCACAAAACUCAAGCAGUCAAGAAAGGAGACUCAAGAAUUCAGCUGUAUUUAAUGUACUCUUGCAAAAUGUUUUAUAGUAGCUUAUUUUUGUGAUAAAUAAGAGGGCAUGCUGUCAUUCACCUCCUUUCUCUGUUUCCUAUGUGUUAGCCAAGGGUAAAAAAUACUCGGGUAAUGCACUGCAGCCGUGGUGGCUUUAUAUGAAGAUAAAUUCCUGAGGCUGGGAUAUUGUGAGUAGUCUGAAAAAAUGUUGUGCAUUCUUCUUUCUUCAUUUAAAUAGAAGAAGCAUGGAAAGUUUGCAAAGGCUGGGGGUGGAAGAAAUGUUUGCUGUUUUCCAGAAGUGGGUGAGAGGUUGGAAUACAAUUGAAAUUAGAUUGUUCAGCUGGUCCUUGAUGGUACAGAUGAAGCCUAUUUGGAUGGAGUUUUAAACUACUUUAUUUCAGUUACUUUAAUCACAGUUUUUGAAACCUCAUAUACAGUCUACUUGGGGGUGAGUAUGAGCUCAGCUGGAAGCUCACUCUGUCGAAUGCUCAGUAUUAAAUUUUCCAACAAGCAGUAAA
Molecule: long non-coding RNA, 2643 nt
Organism: Neopsephotus bourkii (Bourke's parrot)
Lineage: Eukaryota; Metazoa; Chordata; Aves; Psittaciformes; Psittacidae
Exons: 5
Source: RefSeq, a predicted model, not a curated record